UACGUAGGGUGCGAGCGUUGCCCGGAUUUAUUGGGCGUAAAGGGCGCGUAGGCGGCUCGGCACGUCCGUUGUGAAAUCGCCCGGCUCAACUGGGCGGGGUCAGCGGAUACGGUCGAGCUUGAGCAAGCUAGGGGGUAAUGGAAUUCCCGGUGUAGUGGUGGAAUGCGUAGAUAUCGGGAGGAGCACCAGUGGCGAAGGCGGUUACCUGGGGCUUUGCUGACGCUGAUGCGCGAAAGCGUGGGGAGCGAUCCGG
RNAcentral lists this ribosomal RNA (253 nucleotides) under uncultured bacterium. Its description in RNAcentral is "partial 16S ribosomal RNA". It matches the Rfam family "Bacterial small subunit ribosomal RNA", at positions 524 to 776 of the family's 1533-position model. The record is from RNAcentral.